AAAAAAAGCAUUCAUCUUUCCAUUAUUGGGUGAAGUGGGUUUAUUAAAGUCUCAGGAUCUGGGAUGGAAUCUCUGUUCAUUUACUGAUUGUGUAACUUUGUGUCUUGGGUCUCAGUUUCUUCGUUUUAUAAAUGGAGGAGGAAGAACAUGUCUAGUUGAACAAAACUUGCCACUGAAUGGCAUUUUUCCCUUUUUCUCCCUCCAGAAUUAUAUUUAUAUUGUAUAUUGAUACAGAUUGCUGACAUCUUUUGAGGAUCUACUUCUGCUGUCUCCAGAAAGUAACAUUUUUAUAGGCAAGAUCAAAGCUGGAUUGAAAAAAGGUUGAUAUUAGGAAAAAAUCACACGUCCAUAAAAGAAUCCAAUAAGAUAGGUGAACUCUUAUCCCCCAAAUGCAAAACAACCCCAAGGGUAAGUGGCAGUAGCUGAGCAAGUGGUGACAUAAGAUAUGAAGGUGAAGCUGAUGUUGAAGAUGAUGAGUGAAGAAUGUUAACCAGAAUAUAUUACUGACAGCAUCAAAUAGCAGUGAGGUCCAGACACAGAAGAGAGUCCAGAAGGGGACAAUGAAAUCAACAAGCCAUCGCUAUAAUUUUUGCUAAAGUUAAUGCAUUUUCUAACUGUUAUAAAUGACAGUUUAUAGUUUCAUGCAAGCUCCUUUUUAUUUUGUUUUUGAAUCUUUGAGUAGACUGAAAGCUCCCUAUGUAUAGGUAGGAACUGUUUCACUUUGUAUUCUCAAUAUACCUAGCUUAUUAACUUGUUGAUUUUACUAAGUGCUUACUUCCAUUUAUCUUCAUAGAGCCUGCACUAAUAAACUCAGUGUUAGUCA
This is a long non-coding RNA of Trichosurus vulpecula (common brushtail), 823 nucleotides long. RefSeq lists it as uncharacterized. The transcript has 2 exons. NCBI's taxonomy places the organism in Eukaryota, Metazoa, Chordata, Mammalia, Diprotodontia, Phalangeridae. The record is from RefSeq and is a predicted model, not a curated record.